AUUGAACGCUGGCGGCAGGCCUAAAACAUGCAAGUCGAGCGAGCGGCGGACGGGUGAGUAAUGUAUGGGGACUGCCCGAUAGAGGGGGAAAACUACUGGAAACGGUAGCUAAUACCGCAUACCAUCGGAGAAACCAUAUGGGAUUAGCUAGUAGGGGCGGUAAUGGCGCAACUAGGCGACGAUCCCUAGCUGGUCUUAGAGGAUGAUCAGCCACACUGGGACUGAGACACGGCCCAGACUCCUCGGGGGGCAGCAGUUGGGAAGAUUGCACAAUGGGGGCAAGCCUGAUGCAGCCAUGCCGCGUGUAUGAAGAAGGCCCUAGGGUUGUAAAGUACUUUCAGUCGGGAGGCGUUACCGACAGAAGAAGCACCGGCUAACUCCGUGCCAGCAGCCGCGGUAAUUC
This 403-nucleotide ribosomal RNA is filed under the name uncultured bacterium. RNAcentral's name for it is "partial 16S ribosomal RNA". It matches the Rfam family "Bacterial small subunit ribosomal RNA", at positions 30 to 526 of the family's 1533-position model. The record is from RNAcentral.